CCCCAGCUCUGUCAGGAUGGUGACACUUCAAAUACCCGAGGCCUUGGUCGUGGAAUUUUUACCCUGGCAGCUUAAAGGAAUACGUCACCCACAAAAUGACCAUUUGUACAUCAGUUACUCUCCUCAUGCUAUGUUAAAUUUGUGAAGAAGACUUUUUUUUCUUGGCAUGUCUCCACGGUGAACGAAGAAUUCACAGAAACAUACGAUGCCAAAAUUUUGUUCUGACAACUGGGCUGACGGUGAAGGCAUUAGAGGACGACUCAGUUUUCUUCACACAUCCAAGGUAACACGAGAUCUCAGUGACGAUAAACAUGAAAUGCGACACCGCUGCUCACCGUGUGAGUAUCUGGAUGAUCUAUCGUGAGACUCUGGGAGUCCAUUCAUGGCCUGUCCUCCUUCCACCUUGGCGGUUCUCUGUGGAAAAACAACAUACAGAGAGUCCUGCAGAGGGCAGUGUCUCCCUGCAGCAGAGGCUGAGUUCAGCCGAGGGCUGCUGCUGAAGCUUUCCUGCUGGGUAGCCUUGGACUCAAACAGUGCACAAAGAGCUCUGGUGCCUGAAGAUUCCCUCUGGGGGAGGAAGUCCAUAGAGCGGCUCCGGCACAAAUUAGAAGUUCGUCCAGAGCCCCAGAGGGCCACACUGUCCCCUCUCUCCGGCGUCCGCCAGUGAUCAUCGGCACAGCUGUCUGAUGCCUGGAAGCAGCAUCAGUUUUUAUAUGUUUUUGGACAGUAUUUUACUGGUUGACAAAUUUGUCACUAAUGAUGAGAAGAAUAAAGGAAAAAUAUGUUUUACCUGAA
Molecule: long non-coding RNA, 795 nt
Organism: Epinephelus fuscoguttatus (brown-marbled grouper)
Lineage: Eukaryota; Metazoa; Chordata; Actinopteri; Perciformes; Serranidae
Exons: 4
Source: RefSeq, a predicted model, not a curated record